Molecule: unclassified non-coding RNA, 274 nt
Filed under: Arthrobotrys eudermata
Lineage: Eukaryota; Fungi; Ascomycota; Orbiliomycetes; Orbiliales; Orbiliaceae
Description: partial internal transcribed spacer region
Rfam family: Eukaryotic small subunit ribosomal RNA (bases 1-46)
Source: RNAcentral
AAGUCGUAACAAGGUUUCCGUAGGUGAACCUGCGGAAGGAUCAUUACCAAAAAAGUGAGAAAUCGCUUUUCUUACCUGCUCGGUGGCCCCCUGGGGUCACUGGACUGGGUCAACCCUUUGUGAACCAAAAAACCUUUCGCUUCGGCAGCUGGGCCUGACCGCCUGUCAGCCUGCCGUUAGCACCUUUCAAAAAAACUUGUUUGUCAAAACAUUGUCUGAUAACCAAAUUUUCGAAUGAAAAUCAAAACUUUCAACAACGGAUCUCUUGGUUCCC